This 67-nucleotide transfer RNA is filed under the name Pomacanthus sexstriatus (sixbar angelfish). RNAcentral describes it as "tRNA-Cys". The record is from RNAcentral. Lineage: Eukaryota; Metazoa; Chordata; Actinopteri; Pomacanthidae. RNAcentral also lists the same sequence under 1 other name.
AGCCCUGAGGUGUAUUACAUAUCAGAUUGCAAAUCUGAAGAAGCAAAUUAAUCGUUUGCCGGGGCUU